GAUGAACGCUGGCGGCGUGCUUAACACAUGCAAGUCGAACGAUGAAGCCCAGCUUGCUGGGUGGAUUAGUGGCGAACGGGUGAGUAACACGUGAGUAACCUGCCCUUGACUCUAGGAUAAGCCCGGGAAACUGGGUCUAAUACUGGAUAGGAACGUCUACCGCAUGGUGGAUGUUGGAAAGAAUUUCGGUCAUGGAUGGACUCGCGGCCUAUCAGCUUGUUGGUGAGGUAAUGGCUCACCAAGGCGACGACGGGUAGCCGGCCUGAGAGGGUGACCGGCCACACUGGGACUGAGACACGGCCCAGACUCCUACGGGAGGCAGCAGUGGGGAAUAUUGCACAAUGGGCGAAAGCCUGAUGCAGCGACGCCGCGUGAGGGAUGACGGCCUUCGGGUUGUAAACCUCUUUCAGUAGGGAAGAAGCGAAAGUGACGGUACCUGCAGAAGAAGCACCGGCUAACUACGUG
Molecule: ribosomal RNA, 465 nt
Filed under: uncultured bacterium
Lineage: Bacteria
Description: partial 16S ribosomal RNA
Rfam family: Bacterial small subunit ribosomal RNA
Source: RNAcentral